Molecule: ribosomal RNA, 253 nt
Filed under: uncultured bacterium
Lineage: Bacteria
Description: partial 16S ribosomal RNA
Rfam family: Bacterial small subunit ribosomal RNA
Source: RNAcentral
UACGUAGGGCGCAAGCGUUGUCCGGAAUUAUUGGGCGUAAAGAGCUCGUAGGCGGUCUGUUGCGUCCGCUGUGAAAACCCAGGGCUUAACCUUGGGCUUGCAGUGGAUACGGGCAGACUAGAGGCAGGUAGGGGAGAAUGGAAUUCCCGGUGUAGCGGUGAAAUGCGCAGAUAUCGGGAGGAACACCGGUGGCGAAGGCGGUUCUCUGGGCCUGUACUGACGCUGAGGAGCGAAAGCGUGGGGAGCGAACAGG